CGAACGGGUGAGUAACACGUGGGCAACCUGCCCAAANAGGGGGAUAANACUUGGAAACAGGUGCUAAUACCGCAUAACCAUAGUUACCGCAUGGUAACUAUGUAAAAGGUGGCUAUGCUACCGCUUUUGGAUGGGCCCGCGACGCAUUAGCUAGUUGGUGGGGUAAAGGCUUACCAAGGCAAUGAUGCGUAGCCGAACUGAGAGGUUGAUCGGCCACAUUGGGACUGAGACACGGCCCAAACUCCUACGGAAGGCAGCAG
Molecule: ribosomal RNA, 260 nt
Filed under: uncultured bacterium
Lineage: Bacteria
Description: partial 16S ribosomal RNA
Rfam family: Bacterial small subunit ribosomal RNA
Source: RNAcentral